GGGGAGGGGCCUUGAUUGCGUCAGGUCUUGACAGCGCUGGCUGAUGAGUGUCUUCUGGCUGCUGGUGCACGUUUACCGUGGAUUUUUUGAAAGCAACGUGACAUGGUUCUUGUGAAGAUGCAGUGGAAAUGUAAGUUUUGUGAAUUUACAUGUAACAAACGGGGUUACCUAUUAAAACAUUAUAGGUUAAAACAUGGAUGUUACAGCAGAACUGUUCCAUUUCCUUGCCUACAUCAAGAUUGUUGCAUUGUUUUUUUUAUAGUUCAGUUAUUGAAAACGUCACAAUAAGUGAUACUAUAUUGGUUGUCUAAUACAAUUGUCCAACAAAAUUGUGCUUUGUUGGUUCUGCUCUCUUCUAGAUCAUUUCCUGUUAUUCUAGCUAUUUACCUUUUGUUUUGUUUUUUUACUACCCAACAGACUCAAAAGCCAACUGAUAUUAGGUCACUGGUGCUCAGAGGGCUCCCGAUUCUCCUUGGUGACAACCCCACAGAUUUCUUCAAAGCAUGCUUUGUAAGUAACUUAUUUUCUCAAAGGUUAUCUUAAAGGACCAUGAAAACAUAAUCAUUUUAUUAAUAGAUAGUCCUUGUAUUUGAUAAAACGUUUACACAUUGC
This 612-nucleotide long non-coding RNA is filed under the name Sinocyclocheilus anshuiensis. RNAcentral's name for it is "lncRNA (ENSSANG00000018061.1)". The record is from RNAcentral. Lineage: Eukaryota; Metazoa; Chordata; Actinopteri; Cypriniformes; Cyprinidae.